UACGUAGGGUGCGAGCGUUGUCCGGAAUUAUUGGGCGUAAAGGGCUCGUAGGCGGUCUGUCGCGUCGGGAGUGAAAACUCAGGGCUUAACCCUGAGCCUGCUUCCGAUACGGGCAGACUAGAGGUAUGCAGGGGAGAACAGAAUUCCUGGUGUAGCGGUGGAAUGCGCAGAUAUCAGGAGGAACACCGGUGGCGAAGGCGGUUCUCUGGGCAUUACCUGACGCUGAGGAGCGAAAGUGUGGGGAGCGAACAGG
This 253-nucleotide ribosomal RNA is filed under the name uncultured bacterium. RNAcentral describes it as "partial 16S ribosomal RNA". It matches the Rfam family "Bacterial small subunit ribosomal RNA", at positions 524 to 776 of the family's 1533-position model. The record is from RNAcentral.